UAAUACGGAGGGUGCAAGCGUUAUCCGGAAUCACUGGGUUUAAAGGGUGCGUAGGCGGGGGAUUAAGUCAGUGGUGAAAGCCUGUAGCUUAACUACAGAAUUGCCAUUGAUACUGAUUUUCUUGAAUUGGGUUGAGGUUAGCGGAAUGUGACAUGUAACGGUGAAAUGUUUAGAUAUGUCAUGGAACACCGAUUGCGAAGGCAGCUAGCUGGGCCUUGAUUGACGCUGAGGCACGAAAGCGUGGGUAGCGAACAGG
This 256-nucleotide ribosomal RNA is filed under the name uncultured bacterium. RNAcentral describes it as "partial 16S ribosomal RNA". It matches the Rfam family "Bacterial small subunit ribosomal RNA", at positions 521 to 776 of the family's 1533-position model. The record is from RNAcentral.